Molecule: unclassified non-coding RNA, 494 nt
Filed under: Hevea brasiliensis (rubber tree)
Lineage: Eukaryota; Viridiplantae; Streptophyta; Magnoliopsida; Malpighiales; Euphorbiaceae
Source: RNAcentral
CGGAACAUGGCAUUGACUUGCUUGCGGUUUGAUUGGGUCCCAAUUCUUUCCACUGAUUUGUUCCACUGUGAAGAAAAAAUGCUGGUUUCUGAGGCAUUGGAAGAGCAACAGAGUAACUAUCCAGCAUAAGAACUAUUGUUCCCAUUGUAGGCCUCUUAGCUGGAUUUUCUUGAACACAUAAUAAACCAAGUUGUAAGCAUCUGAUCACUUCAUUUUUCGAAUAUGAACCCAUUAAAGCCUCAUCCAUAAAUUGCAAGGCUGUUCCUUUGCUCCAGUGUUUCCAUGCAUAGCUCAAGAGAUCCUCAGCAUCGUCUGAUUGAUCAAAAGAACUAAUCUUCUUGCCACUUAUAAUCUCCAGAACAAUAACACCGAAACUAUAGAUAUCAGACUUCAAAGAAUAUUGACCGUGCAUAGCGUACUCAGGAGAUAAAUAACCAUAUGUUCCGACAAUCCUGUUUGUAUUGUCCUGAGUUUGAUCUACUCCUAAAAUCUUC